UAGUACCAGGAAGAGCCAUCUG
RNAcentral lists this microRNA (22 nucleotides) under Shrimp white spot syndrome virus. RNAcentral's name for it is "wssv-mir99_5p". The record is from RNAcentral. Lineage: Naldaviricetes; Nimaviridae.